This 440-nucleotide ribosomal RNA is filed under the name uncultured bacterium. Its description in RNAcentral is "partial 16S ribosomal RNA". It matches the Rfam family "Bacterial small subunit ribosomal RNA", at positions 338 to 795 of the family's 1533-position model. The record is from RNAcentral.
CCUACGGGUGACAGCAGUAGGGAAUAUUGCUCAAUGGAGGAAACUCUGAACCAGCAACGCCGCGUGGAGGAUGAAGGUUUUCGGAUUGUAAACUUCUUUUGUUAGAGAAGAUAAUGACGGUAUCUAACGAAUAAGCACCGACUAACUCCGAGCCAGCAGCCGCGGUAAUACGGAGGGUGCAAGCGUUAUUCGGAAUCACUGGGCGUAAAGGGCGCCUAGGCGGGUUCGCAAGUCAGUUGUGAAAUCCUAUGGCUUAACCAUAGAACUGCAUUUGAUACUGGUAUUCUAGAGUGUGGGAGGGGUAGGCGGAAUUCUUGGUGUAGCGGUAAAAUCCGUAGAGAUCAAGAAGAAUACUCAUUGCGAAGGCGGCCUGCUAGAACAUAACUGACGCUGAUGCGCGAAAGCGUGGGGAGCAAACAGGAUUAGAUACCCGGGUAGUC